AUUAAUUAACAGGCCUUAGAACAUCAUCAAUCUCCAACAGGCAUACCAAUGCACUAGUUAUCCCUUAAACAAAGCACCUAAACAUAACUUAACUGACUUACUGCACUCACAGUCAACUAUCAGAGGCAAAACGUGUUCAAGAGAGGAAAAUGAUUGAUAAAGCAAAGUAGGAAAAAGGGCAUGAAAGUGGGAACAAAAAGAGAGGAGAUAAGAUACAAGAGAAGCAUCAGACGUUACAAAAUAUUGAUGCAGUUUUGAUUUCAACAUCCUCAUGUUUUUAUUCUAGUUUUUUUCUUUAGAGCAUUAUUUUUAAGAAGGCAGAGCUUCUUGUCAAAGUUAGUGAUGGCCACAUUAUUAUUAUUAUUAUUGGCCACAUUCAUAACAUAUGUAAUGCAUGCAUACUGAUUUGGUGUAAUGCAAUGCAAUGAUUCUCAUAUUUUUCUCAUAUUUCAUUUUAUCCUCUGUUUCCAAAUUAUUAUUUUUUAAAAUGUAGGCUACCAAUUUACAUCAUUUUAUGUAUGUAUUUUUUUAUUAUUUUUUUUAUACAUAUUUGUUUAUGUUAUUUUAAUGGUUUGUUUUAGAAUAAUCAAUCACCCUAACUGGAUUUUGUUCAGCUUUUUCAGUGUAAACGUUUAGAUAUCUACUUCAGUCAAUCUUAAAUGUGUAGGCUAACCAAUUUAACAAAUAUCUUGGCCAAGUGUACAAAUAUUAGCAACAGAUUCAUAAUAACGAGCUGCAGAGCUUUGUUUUUUUUGCACAUCCAUCUCUUCAAAUUAAUAAGCAACCGUGGAUUUCACUUCAACUCGCCUGCAUAGUUUACUUCAUGCACAGAGCACGUGGUUGCUGAUAUUUUGUACACUCAGCAUGUUUGAGAAAUGUUUUACUAGGAUUGCACUUUUAAACCCAAAUUAUCUUUGUACUGUGUACUAUCUACUGUACUGUAUUGCUUACAUGUAGAAGGCUGGAGAAAAGUGAAAUAAAGCAUUGGAAAAAA
Molecule: long non-coding RNA, 994 nt
Organism: Sander lucioperca (pikeperch)
Lineage: Eukaryota; Metazoa; Chordata; Actinopteri; Perciformes; Percidae
Exons: 3
Source: RefSeq, a predicted model, not a curated record